UGGGCUCCCACAAGGCUGUUCAUGGUUUCCUCUCUCCUCAUCAUGGCAGGGCAGUGUAACCUUUGAGGAUGUGGCUGUGUACUUCUCCUGGGAGGAAUGGGCUCUCCUUGAUGAGGCACAGAAACUCCUGUACUGCGAUGUGAUGCUGGAGAACUUUGCACUUAUGGCCUCCCUAGGUUAUUGGCGUGGAGUGGAAGAUGAGGAUGCACCUUCUGAGCAGAGUGUUUCUGUAGAAGGAGUGUCACAGGUAUCGAUGACCUUCAAGUACUUGGCCAUGACCUUCACUUGGGAGGAGUGGGGGCAGUUGGAUAUGGCUCAGAAGACCCUAUAUCGGGAAGUAAUGCUGGAGACCUGUGGGCUCCUGGUCUCACUA
Molecule: long non-coding RNA, 373 nt
Filed under: Camelus dromedarius (Arabian camel)
Lineage: Eukaryota; Metazoa; Chordata; Mammalia; Artiodactyla; Camelidae
Description: lncRNA (ENSCDRG00005012660.1)
Source: RNAcentral